CAUGGUAGAGGGCUAUAACGAAGACUUGAUACUUCUAGUAAAGCGUACCUUAAGCACCGCACUGCUUACAUUGCAUAGGCAUAUAUGGAAUUUGACAUCUGUAAAUAAAUCAUCAGAAAUAAUGUUGGCAAAAAGUGCACGCUGCGUUAAGCAAAGAUAGAAUGAGCAUCAGCAAAAUGUUGUUUUCAGGCUUACAGCAAUCGCCGAAAGGCAAAAGAAAGCCAGAUAUUGCAUAUUCCCAAGCAUAAAUUCGGACGAGAGGGAUGGGCUAAGAAACAUAUGGCGGUUGGGUUUGCCGUGUGCGAGUAUACUGCGCAUGACACCUCUUGUGUUGUCACGUGGGGAAUCACGGUAUCGUGGAAUGGAUGGCCUAGACCCUUCUGCACGAUUGCGGCUCUUUAGUUUUGCUUUUCACCUCUGAUGAGACAUAGCUUUAUCCCCGCCUUUUCCAGAAUGAUUCAUUUGUUGGGAAUCGGCUCUAUGUCCGUGUGCUUCGCUUGCGUUUGCUUGUUUUUUUUUUCUUUUACUGUCUAUCAUUUACUGCCCAUUAGCCUAUAUUUGUCAUGCCACAAAACACCACGGCCCGUACCUUUGCGUUUCAGCUAGCGUUGCUGUAUAUGGGACUACGUAGGUGAACAACUAUCAUCGAGGCGCGGAUGGCGAGGGGUUCGGAAGCAACACCUGGGGCAAACACUUCUAGGGCGAUCACUUCUAGGGCGAUCACUUCUAGGGCGAUCACUUCUAGGGCGAUCACUUCUAGGGCGAUCACUUUCGGAGGCAAUCACACUAGAUAUGUGUGCGUAUACGGCCGAAAGCGUUUCUCGCUCUGUGCCAAGCUCGCUUUCUAAUGGUGCACAGAACAGGUCAACGUUUCGUGUCCUCACCUCUUUCACCGUGCUAGUCACAUAAGUGUGCAUUGUCUUCUUUUUCAUUGGUUCCGACAACGAACGGCGCGAGAUCGACAUGUUCCUGUCCUGCACGCAUCUGUCGAACGAAGACGAUGCUGCCCUCUCGUGCGUCAUCACCAGGUCAAGCGGGGGAGGCAGCACGGGGGCCGACUGCACGUGUCAAACCAGCAAGGGCCAGCAUCUGUCCAAGGAAUACCGCCCUGUAGGCGACCAUGGGCGCAUGGCCCGGGAGGCCCGGGUCGGAGAGGGUUCCAUGGCGCCACCGGAACCCCUCGACCCAGUUUUCGACUCGCUGGCUGCACUCGAACAUCGCCUGUGCUGACAGGUUGCACAGCGUCGCCAGGUCGACUGCGGUGUGCAAGGUCCACCUGGCUCCUGGAGCAGCGAGGUGAACAGCAUGCUCAGGCGCACGCUCCAUAUCGGGCCACAGGUGCCAGUUAUGAGCAACGUAGGCGACACUGUGCCCCAGCCUUGCCGGUGGCAAGAAGGCUCCGUGUUGUCUCCGUGCAGCCGAAUGCUCCACUUUGAAUAUCGGUUGCCCAGGAUGUCGGGCAAGAUCCUGAGCAGCGUGCUCACCGGAAGUGGGAGAGAUGACGAGGAUCUCCCCACCACGGACUUCGAACGACAAAUCCUUCGAUCGGAAGCAAACGGUUCCGAGACCGCCGAAGAGCCGCUGACCCAGGCUGCCGAGGUUCAGCUGCAACGCCAGGUCGCGAACCUGCGUCAGAGCGGCCACAUUUACCGUCACGACGACGUGGCCGUUCCAACCAUUGCUGAGAAUUCCGACGAACGCGUGGUUACGCACACACAAAAAUAAAGAAUGACAACACCGCUGGCCAUCAGGCCGGAAGACGACGACGACGGCGGCGGCGACGACGCAUAACAACCAGGACCUGCCAGACGAGUCGCACUUAACAUGCCACUAGUCGAACUAUAAGUGUUCGCGGGGUCCAGUCUGAGUAGCCUAAGGAUAGUUUGGGGCGGGUCAUCGAAAUAGAGCACCGAUAACACGGCGGCUUAACGAGUUAUCGAGUUGGAGAAGGCAGAGGAAAGACAAGGAGUGGAAGGUUGGUGGAUGCUAUGAAUAGCUUAAAAGGACCGAAAACCACGUGCGACUGCAAAACUUGGCGGAGGCGUUCAUAGUAGCGUAUGCUGUUUGUGUGUUGUGUUCCCCCCAACCCACUAAGGUGUUUCGGGACCCUUGUAACGCUGUAAUGCAUAACGCACCUUCUGUAUACUUCGCAGCUUGAGACUUCGAAAUUCAAGUUUGUGCACGUGAAUCAGAGGUAGCGAUAUUAAUUCGCUGUCGAGCGAAGUGUGAAUUUUGAGUAGCUUGGGAAUCGAAUUCCUAAGUACGGUGCUGAUUACCUUUGCUGACAAAUUCUCUCUUCAGCACAAAUUUGCACUCCAUAUGGCAUGAAAUGGAGAAAAUUCUGCGUACGUAGAAGCGUGCUUGAGCAUUACAGGGUUAAACACUCCCCAAUGCUGUUGGUUUCAGUGCUGUUGAUUGAUGUGUACAGCAAGCGCGUCAAAGUAAGUGUUUGAAAGCUGCAGCAGAGGACGACGAAACCCGGAGUGAGACACGCGACUUCUCCAAUAUUCACGGUGCAUCUUGAACGCGUACCACAGGUGGUGCACAUCAAAAAAAAAUUUCGAGAUGGCUUGUAACGCGGCCGCCUUAACUGGCGCUCGUGUAUUGUUUAGCAUGAAGAGUUGAGCGUGACGUCAGCAUUAUGCCGAGGUUAAGCAAUCGCCGUAUAAGGAAGAGCUACUUGAAUACUUGCACGUACUUUACAGCUUUUCUUUUGUUUUUUCUCUCGGGUGAGCCGCAUUCUUUUUCUGUUGGAACGAACAGCUGAGCGCAGUACUUAGCCCCACGUUUCCUUGACGCUCGUCCAAAUUUUCUGCCUCUGGAAUCGAGAUUUCCGUCUCGUGCAGCUGCCGCCUUACGGUCCUGAGAAAUUACCAGGCGCCGCUAAGACGCCGCGAAACUGUUUUCAUGUCCCUGCCAUCGUUAAUUUUAACGUGCGUACUUGCGAUGUACUUCCGAUUCCCAGUAGCGGUUGUUCGUUAACUGAUGUAUUCGACGUCAUUUUUUUUGCGACAUUCCGCAACGCAUUUUCGUUAUUGCGACAUGUUUACAGGUAGUGUACGUGUGCGCACCUGUAAACUAGAGAAGAUUAGUUCGUUUAUAGCAACGCAGGCAACACUGCGCUGCAGGCUAGCCGGUGGAAAGAACACUCCGUGCAGCCGCAUUGAAUAUCGUUCGGACAAUGUCUAGCAGGGUUGAACCACCUUGCUCUGAAUUUUUCUUGCUCUGCAGCUAUGAAAGCACACAGUACACAUCCAAAUAUUCAUGACUGCUGGCGUCACCGAACCAUGGUUCGCAAUUUGUGGUGGUUUUACUACACACAGUAUACAUACUGUUUGCCUUGCAUGUGCUGCAAAACAACCCUGAAAUUUCACCUACAGCAUUCUCUCGAUUUGUUUUGUGUGCGUGUGUUUUGACCCGCCCAUAGGAAUUUGACUCGUGUGACAAUGUUUACGAAUUUCGAAAUAAACUUGAAUGAAGGC
Molecule: long non-coding RNA, 3482 nt
Organism: Dermacentor andersoni
Lineage: Eukaryota; Metazoa; Arthropoda; Arachnida; Ixodida; Ixodidae
Source: RefSeq, a predicted model, not a curated record